GCUGCAACUCGCCUGCACGAAGUCGGAAUUGCUAGUAAUCGUAGGUCAGCAUACUACGGUGAAUACGUUCCCGGGCCUUGUACACACCGCCCGUCACACCAUGGGAGCCGGUAAUACCCGAAGUCAGUAGUCCAACCUCGUGAGGACGCUGCCGAAGGUAGGAUUGGCGACUGGGGUGAAGUCGUAACAAGGUAGC
Molecule: ribosomal RNA, 196 nt
Filed under: uncultured bacterium
Lineage: Bacteria
Description: partial 16S ribosomal RNA
Rfam family: Bacterial small subunit ribosomal RNA
Source: RNAcentral